UGGGGGAUAUUGCACAAUGGGCGAAAGCCUGAUGCAGCGACGCCGCGUGGGGGAUGAAGGCUUUCGGGUUGUAAACCUCUUUCGCUAUCGAACAAGGCCCGCUUAGGGUGGGUUGAGGGUAGGUGGAGAAGAAGCGCCGGCUAACUACGUGCCAGCAGCCGCGGUAAUACGUAGGGCGCGAGCGUUGUCCGGAAUUAUUGGGCGUAAAGGGCUUGUAGGCGGCUUGUUGCGCCUGCUGUGAAAACGCGGGGCUUAACUUCGCGCGUGCAGUGGGUACGGGCAGGCUUGAGUGUGGUAGGGGUGACUGGAAUUCCAGGUGUAGCGGUGGAAUGCGCAGAUAUCUGGAGGAACACCGAUGGCAAAGGCAGGUCACUGGGCCAUUACUGACGCUGAGGAGCGAAAGCAUGGGUAGCGAACAGG
Molecule: ribosomal RNA, 420 nt
Filed under: bacterium
Lineage: Bacteria
Description: partial 16S ribosomal RNA
Rfam family: Bacterial small subunit ribosomal RNA
Source: RNAcentral